Molecule: ribosomal RNA, 467 nt
Filed under: uncultured bacterium
Lineage: Bacteria
Description: partial 16S ribosomal RNA
Rfam family: Bacterial small subunit ribosomal RNA
Source: RNAcentral
GAUGAACGCUGGCGGCGUGCUUAACACAUGCAAGUCGAACGAUGAAGCCCAGCUUGCUGGGUGGAUUAGUGGCGAACGGGUGAGUAACACGUGAGCAACCUGCCCCUGACUCUGGGAUAAGCGCUGGAAACGGCGUCUAAUACUGGAUAUGUCCCGUCACCGCAUGGUGUGCGGGUGGAAAGAUUUUUCGGUUGGGGAUGGGCUCGCGGCCUAUCAGCUUGUUGGUGAGGUAAUGGCUCACCAAGGCGUCGACGGGUAGCCGGCCUGAGAGGGUGACCGGCCACACUGGGACUGAGACACGGCCCAGACUCCUACGGGAGGCAGCAGUGGGGAAUAUUGCACAAUGGGCGGAAGCCUGAUGCAGCAACGCCGCGUGAGGGAUGACGGCCUUCGGGUUGUAAACCUCUUUUAGCAGGGAAGAAGCGAAAGUGACGGUACCUGCAGAAAAAGCACCGGCUAACUACGUA